GAUGAAGAACGUAGUGAAAUGCGAAAAGUAAUGUGAAUUGCAGAAUUCAGUGAACCAUCGAAUCUUUGAACGCACAUUGCGCCCGCUGGAACUCCGGCGGGCACGCCUGUCCGAGCGUCAUUUCAACCCUCAGGCCCCCUUCGCGGGCGGGCCUGGUGUCGGGGCCCGGCCGCUACCCUGCGGCCGUCCCCUAAAUCCAGUGGCGGCCUCGCCGUGAUCCCUUGCGUAGUAAUGCACCUCGCACCGGAGAGCGCCGUGGCCACGCCGUAAAACCCCCAAUUUUCAAUGGUUGACCUCGGAUCAGGUGGGAAUACCCGCUGAACUUAAGCAUAUCAAUAAGCGGAGGA
This 347-nucleotide unclassified non-coding RNA is filed under the name soil metagenome. RNAcentral's name for it is "partial contains 5.8S ribosomal RNA, internal transcribed spacer 2, and large subunit ribosomal RNA". The stretch from base 1 to 120 matches the Rfam family "5.8S ribosomal RNA", at positions 35 to 154 of the family's 154-position model. The record is from RNAcentral.